CAUGCAGUCGUANGCGGGGCUCCCCUUCGGNGANCUGCCGAGUGGCGCNNNNNUNNGUAACGCGUAGACAACCUGCCCUCGGGUGGGGGAUANCCCAGGGAAACCUGGGCUAAUACCGCAUAAAGUCCGGGUGACGCAUGUCACUUGGAUGAAAGCCCUUCGGGGCGCCUGANAAUGGGUCUGCGUCCUAUCAGCUAGUUGGUGAGGUAACGGCUCACCAAGGCUACGACGGGUAGCUGGUCUGAGAGGAUGGCCAGCCACACUGGCACUGAGACACGGGCCAGACUCCUACGGGAGGCAGCAGUGGGGAAUCUUGGGCAAUGGGCGAAAGCCUGACCCAGCCACGCCGCGNGNAGGAUGACACCCCUAUGGGGCGUAAACUCCUUUUCUGGGGGAAGAAACCCCGGCUACGGCCGGGGCUGACGGUACCCCAGGAAUAAGCGCCGGCUAACUCCGUGCCAGCAGCCGCGGUAAUACGNAGGGCGCAAGCGUUGUCCGGAAUCNCUGGGUGUAAAGGGUGUGUAGGCGGNACAGUAAGUCGGUGGUGAAAGCCCGCGGCNUCNACCGUNNNUUGCCUCCNAUACUGCUGUCCUUGAGUCCCGGNNAGGCCACUGNANUUNCUGNGUAGCGGUGAAAUGCGUAGAU
Molecule: ribosomal RNA, 645 nt
Filed under: uncultured bacterium
Lineage: Bacteria
Description: partial 16S ribosomal RNA
Rfam family: Bacterial small subunit ribosomal RNA
Source: RNAcentral